RNAcentral lists this unclassified non-coding RNA (221 nucleotides) under plant metagenome. Its description in RNAcentral is "partial contains small subunit ribosomal RNA, internal transcribed spacer 1, and 5.8S ribosomal RNA". The record is from RNAcentral.
UCUCCGUAGGUGAACCUGCGGAGGGAUCAUUACAGAGUUCGUGCCCUCGCGGGUAGAUCUCCCACCCUGCGUUAUUGCUACCUUUGUUGCUUUGGCGGGCCGCCCUCGGCGACCGGCCCCGGCUGGUACGCGCCCGCCAGAGGAACCCAAACCCUGAACGUCAGUGCCGUCUGAGUACUAUACAAUAGUUAAAACUUUCAACAACGGAUCUCUUGGUUCUG